AUCUUUGGUGAGAAGGAAUGCCUAUGAAACUAAAUCUGGUUAAAUGAAUUUUGUUUUUCCUGAGCUUAUAUUUGGCCUCUUGGUUGGGUUUGAAGUGCAGAUGAGAUCAAAUUAGGUAGUUUUGAUAUGGACUGAGCAUGGUCAUAGCUAUUUGCCAUUCAGAAGACAAACAAGUAGUAACUCCAGCAGGCCUAGCAUACUGGUAAAUGGGAAUUGAUGAGCAGAUUGCUUCCAAAGUUUCAAGAGUAUGAAGUUUGUGGACUGCAUUAGAUCCUUUGAAAGAG
Long non-coding RNA from Rosa chinensis, 284 nucleotides. RefSeq lists it as uncharacterized. The record is from RefSeq and is a predicted model, not a curated record. Lineage: Eukaryota; Viridiplantae; Streptophyta; Magnoliopsida; Rosales; Rosaceae. The transcript is spliced from 2 exons.